This is a long non-coding RNA of Megalobrama amblycephala (Wuchang bream), 2431 nucleotides long. RefSeq lists it as uncharacterized. NCBI's taxonomy places the organism in Eukaryota, Metazoa, Chordata, Actinopteri, Cypriniformes, Xenocyprididae. The transcript is spliced from 4 exons. The record is from RefSeq and is a predicted model, not a curated record.
UAAGCUGGUUAUUUGAUGUUAAAUGGUUACUUAUCUUUUUAUUGAAAGCUCCUGUUGAACACUGAUUUGCUCAAUUUUUGUCUAAUUUCAUUAAGGUCUUGCCAGCCAGAAGACAGGAGCCAACCAGACAGGAGCCAGCCAGACAGGAGGAGGUGUACCCUGUUGUUCAUAAAUAUGGUAGGUUAGACGUCAGAGCAAUCAGCCUAUAAUUUCCUGCUAUUGCAGAAUCUUUCCCUGGUUUGGGAAUAGGGAUUACGACGGUUUGUUUCCAGAAUAAAGAUUAUCUGUGCUUUUUGAAAGGUGAAGGCUAACAGCUUUUUCAGCUUUUUCUACUUCAGUAACUGCUGUUUUCCCUUCAUUUGCUAAAACUGCAAUAUUCUGAGUUCUGUAAACACCAACCAUCUUAUUAAGGACACUCCAUACAUCUCCCAGCUGAGUUUCCCUUCCUAUUGUGGAGCAGUACCAGAUUUAAGACACAUGAGAGAAAGCCCGUGGGUAAGUUCACAGCCUGUUACCAGAACACACGUACAUCUCAUCUGAUGUAUGCAGAUGGAUUGAGAUUGAGAAAUGACUGUUACAGUAAGAGCCAGAUUUACUUUAGAAGGCCCUUUUUUAAAAAACCUAUAACUUCAAAUAAGAAACAUCUUCAUCAUUUGUUAAAAAAGCCAAUGAUGAUUUGACUCUCAUUUAUAUAGAGAUGACACUUGUGCUGACAAUCAGCCAUUGUUUGCAGUGUUUGUUUGAGCUGUUAGUGCCACAGUGUAAAAGGAUUGUUGCGUCACCCCUGAACUAUCUUCUUGAGAAAAAGCUUUGAAACUCAUCUCCGGGAAAGGUCAUCUCCAGGUUUGUACAUGUUUUAUUUCAUCUCGUUUAGACUAAUGUAAUGUUGGUGUCAGCCAGGCCUCUCUCUCACGCUUGCGGUUAGUGCAGAAUGCUGCAGCUCGACAUUUAACAUGAACACGUAAACAGGAACAUAUUUCCCAUCAAAUCUGUGUGUACGCACGCUUUAUAAAUGAGUCCCCUGGACACAGGAGCAGCUUCUUCCCACAGGCCAUUUCCCUCCUGAACAGUUAUAAGCCUCCCAAGUCACAUACCUGCAAGUGCAACACUCCCACUGUUGAUAUUUAAUCAUAUUAUUCACAAUACUGUAAAUAUGUUCAUAAUCGGUAAAUAUGUAUAUUAUGACUAAGACUAAGCCUAACUGUGUCCUUAUGCUUUUUAUAUUCUUUAUUUUUUUUAUUCUUAAAUGUUAUGUUUCUUGUUGUUGUGUUUGCAUGUGUGCACUAAAAGCUUCAGUACCAAGGUAAAUUCCCUGUGUGUGCAAACACACUUGACAUUAAAGCUCUUUCUGAUUCUGAACAGGUCGUGACAGAAGGGACAUGUUCGUGUUCAUUUAUGUGGAACGAGGAAGGCAUUAUGCAAAUAUAUUUUAUUGUUGAGACACGUUAAUUUUAAUUGUGUCCUUUAACCCUCUGGGCUUUACAUUGUUUUCUGGAAGUGUUGUUGUCACCGGGAGUGUUUUGACAUGCCCUGACAUCUCUGCUUAUUUCUGUUACGUGUAACAUUUUCAUGGCUAAAGUCUGAUUACGCUGUAUUCAGCACAAACUCUGCAUGUAUGUAAAAAUUUGUAGUUUUGAGAAAAUUAUGUUUAUAAGCGGUUUGUGAAAAAAAAAGUCACUGAAGGCCAUAAAAUGCGAUUAAUUCAAAUCCUUAACGCGUUAAAAUAAUUCAUGUGAAAUUGUGUCAUAACGUAAUUUAUAUCACGUUUCACUUUAAAACAUGAACUCUCUGUCACAUUCUCUCAUUGUAUCUGAAGAGCGCGAGACCCCCUGCAUCGCACUGUUCCCGUUUGAACGGAACGUCGAAACAUCCCACCGCUGUGUGGCCAGAUGAUAUGAAAACUAUGUUGUUGUGUUUUUUUUGCUGGAUAAAGCAAACCAGCUUCUCGCUAUGAAAGUUUAGAUGGAUGAGGAUUGCAAUCAAAGUAAAGACGAUUGUGUGAUGUACAGGAGUCAUACAUUAAGUGUGAGUGAGUAUGUUAUAUUGAUGAGCAAACAAAUCACAUGAGCGCUCUCGACGCGCUGAUCGCUUGUCUUUUCACAGGUGUUCACAUCUGAGGUCUUCUUAAGAGGCUGGAUCCAAACUGAAGCUGAUGUACUCUCUAGUCACCUUAGGAGGGGCAUCCCAAGAUAAAACAGAAAAGCAAAUGGAGAAUAAUUUGUGUAGCUGCUGUUCAUAAGGUUCUGAGACCAUAUGGGGUGAAGGUGAAGACAGAACCAAACUAAAGCUGGACUGUAACCUACUGGAGUCAAGUCAAAUCACCUUUAUUUAUAUAGCGCUUUUUACAAUGCAGAUUGUGUCAAAGCAGCUUUACAUUGAUAACUGGUACAUUAUUUUGGCUGCACAGCAGCUCUUAAAGAAUAGUGUCAAU